UGAGUAACCUGCCCUUAACUCUGGGAUAAGCCUGGGAAACUGGGUCUAAUACCGGAUAUGACUCCUCAUCGCAUGGUGGGGGGUGGAAAGCUUUUUGUGGUUUUGGAUGGACUCGCGGCCUAUCAGCUAGUUGGUGAGGUAACGGCUCACCAAGGCAUCGACGGGUAGCUGGUCUGAGAGGACGAUCAGCCACACUGGGACUGAGACACGGCCCAGACUCCUACGGGAGGNAG
RNAcentral lists this ribosomal RNA (233 nucleotides) under uncultured bacterium. Its description in RNAcentral is "partial 16S ribosomal RNA". It matches the Rfam family "Bacterial small subunit ribosomal RNA", at positions 118 to 351 of the family's 1533-position model. The record is from RNAcentral.